Molecule: long non-coding RNA, 896 nt
Filed under: Panicum hallii
Lineage: Eukaryota; Viridiplantae; Streptophyta; Magnoliopsida; Poales; Poaceae
Description: long non-coding RNA (PHAL_LNC000484)
Source: RNAcentral
GAGCCACCUUCACGGCCAUUUACCCUUAGGAGGUGCCCAUAACCGUUGGCAUGCACUACAGCGUGCAGCAAGUGAGAGGAGUCAUCCAGAUGCAGGUAUGCACACUCUUCGAUUUCCUCACCAUCCAUAUCAAAGUUGCAGAGGGCACACCUGGGGAAUGUAUUGCAUUCGAAGUUAGAGAACUUGCAAAGUAGUAUUCAGAGCAUCACAAGUUCACAACACAUUAAUCAUAUUACAUGCUUUAUGAUUUAUUCAGAGCUAGGCAGAGAUAACUUUCUAAGCUGUCUAUGAAAACAAGCCCCAUCCAAAUGCAAUCUAUUUGAAACUCUCUGCAUUUAGAUUCGGGCAUGCACUGAUUCACAGCAUGUAGACACAUCUGAGUACUAUAUAGGCAUCUAACGCACAGCAUAUUGACAUCAACUGGUCAUGUAUUAACGUUGUCAGGUCCCAUUUCCCAUUCGCUGUUAUGCAAGCAUGUAUAUUUUCUGAAAUGUGCCUCCCACCUUGAUUCUCCAGCGACCAUGCGAGUCCCGCAGCGCAGGCAGCAGGUGCGCCGGUGGCCGGAGAGCUGGUUGCAGUCGUUCUCGAUGAUGAAAUGGUAUCGCUUCCCGCAGACUGGGUGGCCACUCCAUCCUGCAACCCAACAAACACAUCAGACACAAGAUUCCAUUGCAGAUGCUGUAUUGCUGUAUGGUAACAGUAUAUGACAAGGAAGAUUGAAUCAAUCAUGGUUAUGGAUGUGAAAGCAACAGCCCAACAAUUCGCUGACAAGACGAAAGCUUCCAGAAAAUUUGGGUGAAACGGGUCGAUUUUUUUAAAAAAAUAGAAAGACGUUGGAUUCAAAAGCCAAUACCGCUCAAUAAAUCGAAAAGAUAACGAGAAGAUCGAAACAAAAC